This 262-nucleotide ribosomal RNA is filed under the name uncultured bacterium. RNAcentral's name for it is "partial small subunit ribosomal RNA". It matches the Rfam family "Bacterial small subunit ribosomal RNA", at positions 26 to 286 of the family's 1533-position model. The record is from RNAcentral.
AGGACGAACGCUGGCGGCGCGCUUAACACAUGCAAGUCGAACGUGAAGCUGGAGCUUGCUCCGGUGGAAAGUGGCGAACGGGUGCGUAACACGUGAGCAACCUGCCCCGAAGACUGGGAUAAACACCGGGAAACCGGUGCUAAUACCGGAUACCUUCUUCCGAUCGCAUGGUUGGAUGAAGAAAUGGAUUCCGCUUCGGGAUGGGCUCGCGGCCUAUCAGCUUGUUGGUGAGGUAACGGCCCACCAAGGCGACGACGGGUAG